This 301-nucleotide ribosomal RNA is filed under the name uncultured bacterium. Its description in RNAcentral is "partial 16S ribosomal RNA". It matches the Rfam family "Bacterial small subunit ribosomal RNA", at positions 509 to 808 of the family's 1533-position model. The record is from RNAcentral.
CAAUCGCCGCGGUAAUACGUAGGUCCCGAGCGUUGUCCGGAUUUAUUGGGCGUAAAGCGAGCGCAGGCGGUUAGAUAAGUCUGAAGUUAAAGGCUGUGGCUUAACCAUAGUACGCUUUGGAAACUGUUUAACUUGAGUGCAAGAGGGGAGAGUGGAAUUCCAUGUGUAGCGGUGAAAUGCGUAGAUAUAUGGAGGAACACCGGUGGCGAAGGCGGCUUUUUGGCCUGUAACUGACACUGAGGCGCGAAAGCGUGGAGAGCAAACAGGAUUAGAUACCCGAGUAGUCCCUGUCUCUUAUACA